This 351-nucleotide ribosomal RNA is filed under the name uncultured bacterium. Its description in RNAcentral is "partial 16S ribosomal RNA". It matches the Rfam family "Bacterial small subunit ribosomal RNA", at positions 338 to 705 of the family's 1533-position model. The record is from RNAcentral.
CCUACGGGUGGCAGCAGUGGGGAAUAUUGCGCAAUGGGGGCAACCCUGACGCAGCAACGCCGCGUGAUUGAAGAAGGCCUUCGGGUUGUAAAGAUCUUUAAUCGGGGACGAAUUUUGACGGUACCCGAAGACUAAGCUCCGGCUAACUACGUGCCAGCAGCCGCGGUAAUACGUAGGGAGCAAGCGUUAUCCGGAUGUACUGGGUGUACAGGGCGUGUAGGCGGGCAUGCAAGCCAGAAUUGAAAUCUGGGGGCUUAAGCCCCAAACUGCUUUUGGAACUGCGUGUCUUGAGUGAGGGCGAGGCAGGCGGAACUCCCCGUGUCGCGGUGAAAUGCGUAGAUAUUGGGAGGA